Molecule: unclassified non-coding RNA, 243 nt
Filed under: uncultured Sordariales
Lineage: Eukaryota; Fungi; Ascomycota; Sordariomycetes; Sordariales
Description: sequence contains 5.8S rRNA gene, ITS2, 28S rRNA gene
Rfam family: 5.8S ribosomal RNA (bases 1-52)
Source: RNAcentral
AACGCACAUUGCGCCCGCCAGUAUUCUGGCGGGCAUGCCUGUUCGAGCGUCAUUUCAACCAUCAGGCCCUGUCCAGCCUGUGUUGGGGCCCUGCGGCUGCCGCAGCCCCCUAAAUGCAGUGGCGGGCUCGCUGUUACCCCGAGCGCAGUAGCGUAUCUCGCUCUGGGCGUGGCGGCGGGUGCUAGCCGUGAAACACUCACUAAGGUUGACCUCGGAUCAGGUAGGAAUACCCGCUGAACUUAA